UGGCUCAGUUCAGCAGAAACCG
Molecule: microRNA, 22 nt
Filed under: Salmo salar (Atlantic salmon)
Lineage: Eukaryota; Metazoa; Chordata; Actinopteri; Salmoniformes; Salmonidae
Description: ssa-miR-24b-3p
Gene: ssa-miR-24b-3p
Source: miRBase by way of RNAcentral